Neogale vison (American mink) is the source of this 447-nucleotide long non-coding RNA. RefSeq lists it as uncharacterized. The record is from RefSeq and is a predicted model, not a curated record. Lineage: Eukaryota; Metazoa; Chordata; Mammalia; Carnivora; Mustelidae. The transcript has 3 exons.
CGUAAAAGCAUUUCCUCCUCCAGGAGCACCGUGAUAAGAAAUGUUGAAAGUUUAAAGGAUUUUGAAAGGUGGGUUAGCUCAACCAGGUAUUUUGAACCUGGGCCACAUUCAGAAGCUUAUCUGAAAUGAAACCAAUAGUGGCAGAGCUGCUUCAUUGAGAACUGAGAAGGAUGGGGACCGCUGGCUGGCUUAGUCGGUGGAGCUCGUGACUCUGGAUCUCGAGGUGGUUGCAGGUGGAAGUAAGGAUGUUCAUCAGCUGACCCGAGAGUCUGUUAUCCACGUGGGCUCAAGAGAAUCAUGGGGCUCCUUUGAAGUACAGAGUCAGAAGCAUCCGUGACAAAGUGUUGUGAUAUGAAAAAGACUUGACCAGUUAUGGCCGGCUUUGAAGACAGUGGGCACCCACAGACCGUGGCCAAUGUGGGCAGCUUCUAGAAGAUGGAAGAGGGA